ACGGGUGAGUAAUGCAUCGGAACGUGCCCAGUCGUGGGGGAUAACUGCUCGAAAGAGCAGCUAAUACCGCAUACGACCUGAGGGUGAAAGCGGGGGACCGUAAGGCCUCGCGCGAUUGGAGCGGCCGAUGUCAGAUUAGGUAGUUGGUGAGGUAAAGGCUCACCAAGCCGACGAUCUGUAGCUGGUCUGAGAGGACGACCAGCCACACUGGGACUGAGACACGGCCCAGACUCCUACGGGAGGCAGCAGUGGGGAAUUUUGGACAAUGGACGCAAGUCUGAUCCAGCCAUGCCGCGUGCGGGAAGAAGGCCUUCGGGUUGUAAACCGCUUUUGUCAGGGAAGAAAAGGCUCUGGAUAAUACCUGGGGCUCAUGACGGUACCUGAAGAAUAAGCACCGGCUAACUACGUGCCAGCAGCCGCGGUAAUACGUAGGGUGCAAGCGUUAAUCGGAAUUACUGGGCGUAAAGCGUGCGCAGGCGGUUGUGCAAGACAGGUGUGAAAUCCCCGGGCUUAACCUGGGAACUGCACUUGUGACUGCACGGCUAGAGUACGGCAGAGGGGGAUGGAAUUCCACGUGUAGCAGUGAAA
Molecule: ribosomal RNA, 588 nt
Filed under: uncultured bacterium
Lineage: Bacteria
Description: bacterial SSU rRNA
Rfam family: Bacterial small subunit ribosomal RNA
Source: RNAcentral